UCGGGGAUCGUCUAAUGGUAGGACGCCUGGUUCUGGUCCAGGUAAUCUAGGUUCGAAUCCUGGUCCCCGAG
This 71-nucleotide transfer RNA is filed under the name Parcubacteria group bacterium. RNAcentral describes it as "tRNA-Gln". It matches the Rfam family "tRNA". Rfam says of the family: Transfer RNA (tRNA) molecules are approximately 80 nucleotides in length. Their secondary structure includes four short double-helical elements and three loops (D, anti-codon, and T loops). The record is from RNAcentral.